This 436-nucleotide ribosomal RNA is filed under the name uncultured soil bacterium. RNAcentral's name for it is "bacterial SSU rRNA". It matches the Rfam family "Bacterial small subunit ribosomal RNA", at positions 26 to 445 of the family's 1533-position model. The record is from RNAcentral.
AGGACGAACGCUGGCGGCGUGCUUAACACAUGCAAGUCGAGCGGUAAGGCUCCUUCGGGAGUACACGAGCGGCGAACGGGUGAGUAACACGUGAGCAAUCUGCCCUUCUCUUCGGAAUAACCAUUGGAAACGAUGGCUAAUGCCGAAUACGACCUCCUUUCGCAUGAUCGGAGGUGGAAAGCUCCGGCGGAGAAGGAUGAGCUCGCGGCCUAUCAGCUAGUUGGCGGGUAACGCCCACCAAGGCGACGACGGGUAGCCGGCCUGGAGACGGGCCGUACCGGGCCAACGGACGUCGGGACUAGGAGACACGGCCAGGACUCCGACGGAGGCAGCAGGUGGGAAUGUGGACAAGUGGGACCGAAAGCCUAGGACUCCGAAGCAACCGCGACGGUGAGGGUGACGGUCCCGUUGGGUUACUAACCUCUUUACGAGCCGG